AGAGUUUGAUCCUGGCUCAGGAUGAACGCUAGCGGCAGGCUUAACACAUGCAAGUCGAGGGGUAACAGGAAUAGCUUGCUAUUUGCUGACGACCGGCGCACGGGGGAGUGAGUAACGCGUAUGCAACCUACCUUUUACUGGAGAAUAGCCUUUAGAAAUGAAGAUUAAUACUCCAUAAUAAUAGAGACUCUCCUGAGUUUUUAUUUAAAGUUUCGGCGGUAAAAGAUGGGCAUGCGUUUUAUUAGUUAGUUGGUAAGGUAACGGCUUACCAAGACUACGAUAAAUAGGGGUCCUGAGAGGGAGAUCCCCCACACUGGUACUGAGACACGGACCAGACUCCUACGGGAGGCAGCAGUGAGGAAUAUUGGACAAUGGGCGAGAGCCUGAUCCAGCCAUGCCGCGUGCAGGAAGACGGCCCUAUGGGUUGUAAACUGCUUUUAUACAGGAAGAAACCUCCCCACGUGUGGGGAGCUGACGGUACUGUAAGAAUAAGCACCGGCUAACUCCGUGCCAGCAGCCGCGGUAAUACGGAGGGUGCAAGCGUUAUCCGGAAUCAUUGGGUUUAAAGGGUCCGUAGGCGGACUAUUAAGUCAGAGGUGAAAUCCCACAGCUUAACUGUGGAACUGCCUUUGAUACUGGUAGUCUUGAGUUAAGACGAGGUAAGCGGAAUGUGUAGUGUAGCGGUGAAAUGCUUAGAUAUUACACAGAACACCGAUUGCGAAGGCAGCUUACUAGACUAUAACUGACGCUGAUGGACGAAAGCGUGGGUAGCGAACAGGAUUAGAUACCCUGGUAGUCCACGCCGUAAACGAUGCUCACUAGUUGUAUGCGAUACAUUGUAUGUGACUGAGCGAAAGCAUUAAGUGAUCCACCUGGGGAGUACGUCGGCAACGAUGAAACUCAAAGGAAUUGACGGGGGCCCGCACAAGCGGAGGAACAUGUGGUUUAAUUCGAUGAUACGCGAGGAACCUUACCUGGGCUUAAAUGUAGAUUGCAUAGAUUAGAGAUAGUCUUUUUCUUCGGAACUAUUUACAAGGUGCUGCAUGGUUGUCGUCAGCUCGUGCCGUGAGGUGUCGGGUUAAGUCCCAUAACGAGCGCAACCCCUAUCGUUAGUUGCUAGCAGGUAAUGCUGAGGACUCUAGCGAGACUGCCACCGUAAGGUGAGAGGAAGGUGGGGAUGACGUCAAAUCAGCACGGCCCUUAUGUCCAGGGCUACACACGUGUUACAAUGGCAGGUACAAAGGGCAGCUACACAGCGAUGUGAUGCUAAUCUCUAAAGCCUGUCCCAGUUCGGAUUGGAGUCUGCAACCCGACUCCAUGAAGUUGGAUUCGCUAGUAAUCGGAUAUCAGCCAUGAUCCGGUGAAUACGUUCCCGGGCCUUGUACACACCGCCCGUCAAACCAUGGAAGCUGGGGGUGCCUGAAGUCUGUGACCGUAAGGAGCGGCCUAGGGUAAAACUGGUAACUAGGGUUAAGUCGAAACAAGGUAACCGUAAAGGGCGAAU
This 1504-nucleotide ribosomal RNA is filed under the name uncultured prokaryote. RNAcentral's name for it is "partial 16S ribosomal RNA". It matches the Rfam family "Bacterial small subunit ribosomal RNA". The record is from RNAcentral.